AACGAACGCUGGCGGCGUGCUUAAGACAUGCAAGUCGUACGGAAAGGCUCUCUUCGGAGAGUACUCGAGCGGCGCACGGGUGAGUAACGCGUGGGUAAUCUGCCUUCGGGUCUGGGACAACCCCGGGAAACUGGGGCUAAUACCGGAUGAGACCACGAGCUCUUCGGAGCUUGCGGAAAAAGAUGGCCUCUCCUUGGAAGCUAUCGCCCGUCGAUGAGCCCGCGUCCCAUUAGCUUGUUGGUGAGGUAACGGCUCACCAAGGCUUCGAUGGGGUAGCUGGUCUGAGAGGAUGAUCAGCCACACUGGAACUGAGACACGGUCCAGACUCCUACGGGAGGCAGCAGUCGGGAAUUUUGGGCAAUGGGCGAAAGCCUGACCCAGCAACGCCGCGUGAGGGAUGAAGGCCCUCGGGUCGUAAACCUCUGUCGGGAGGGAAGAACGGUUGCUCUUCGAAUAGGUGAGCAGCCUGACGGUACCUCCAAAGGAAGCACCGGCUAACUCCGUG
This 505-nucleotide ribosomal RNA is filed under the name uncultured bacterium. Its description in RNAcentral is "bacterial SSU rRNA". It matches the Rfam family "Bacterial small subunit ribosomal RNA", at positions 29 to 507 of the family's 1533-position model. The record is from RNAcentral.